This 132-nucleotide ribosomal RNA is filed under the name Diaphorina citri (Asian citrus psyllid). Lineage: Eukaryota; Metazoa; Arthropoda; Insecta; Hemiptera; Psyllidae. The record is from RNAcentral.
UCCAGCGGCGAUAGCAUGUUGAAUACACCAGUUCCUCAUCCUAAAUUCCCAAUAUAUCAAUGAAGUUUAGCAACAUUGCGCUUGGUUAGUAUCUGGAGAGGUGACCAUCUGGACAAGCGUGUGACACUGGGU